Molecule: long non-coding RNA, 702 nt
Organism: Oncorhynchus masou masou (cherry salmon)
Lineage: Eukaryota; Metazoa; Chordata; Actinopteri; Salmoniformes; Salmonidae
Exons: 4
Source: RefSeq, a predicted model, not a curated record
UGUACUGCAAGGUCAAAUGUCUCAUCACGUGGCAUUAAGACCUAUGGUUUCUAUGGCAGCCGCCAGUUAUGUCCGGAAGAGACACUGCCAUCAUUAUCUCAUGGUGCAGCGUCAAGAAAGUUGAAAAUGAUGGAGACGUCUUCUUGUGAUCAAGCUGGUGGAGGUCUGUGGAACUGUCCUAGAAUGACCCAGUACAGCAAGGAGAUUCAGGACAUACUGAAAUUAAUGAUGCAAGAGUCGAGACUCACCAACUUCCAGCAAAGACAGCUCAAUGACAAACUUAAGAGGAUCAGCUUUGCCAUUGACCUGCAACCCCACAUCAUCGGCUCCUCCCUCACUGCCCAAACCCAAAGUCGUAAAAAAUAGCACAAACCACACUCCAGCCAAGCCCCUGGGGCGCACUGCUGACAGUUGUAGUUCUGGGGACAACUACACCAGAGAUAGGUUCCGCUGAUAUCAGAACUAGUUCACUGAUAGUUGGUCAGGGACACCUGGGAACAAAUGUACCACUGUUCUUGUAUAAACAAAAUGUAAUUUAGGCCUAUGUGUAUGAGCCCUCUUUUACGGAGUUCUCUCACAUUUCAGUUGAAGGCAUUCAGUUGUACAACUGACUAGGUAUCCCCCUUUCCUUCUAUGAGAGAUCUGGAUAAGAGAUGUAUGUGCGUUCAUUCUCUCCCUCACUUCUCCUGUAAGGAGAUUUAG